GAUGAACGCUGGCGGCGUGCCUAAUACAUGCAAGUCGAGCGAACGGACGAGAAGCUUGCUUCUCUGAUGUUAGCGGCGGACGGGUGAGUAACACGUGGAUAACCUACCUAUAAGACUGGGAUAACUUCGGGAAACCGGAGCUAAUACCGGAUAAUAUUUUGAACCGCAUGGUUCAAAAGUAAAAGACGGUCUUGCUGUCACUUAUAGAUGGAUCCGCGCUGCAUUAGCUAGUUGGUAAGGUAACGGCUUACCAAGGCAACGAUGCAUAGCCGACCUGAGAGGGUGAUCGGCCACACUGGAACUGAGACACGGUCCAGACUCCUACGGGAGGCAGCAGUAGGGAAUCUUCCGCAAUGGGCGAAAGCCUGACGGAGCAACGCCGCGUGAGUGAUGAAGGUCUUCGGAUCGUAAAACUCUGUUAUUAGGGAAGAACAUAUGUGUAAGUAACUGUGCACAUCUUGACGGUACCAAAUCAGAAAGCCACGGCUAACUACGUG
This 497-nucleotide ribosomal RNA is filed under the name uncultured bacterium. Its description in RNAcentral is "partial 16S ribosomal RNA". It matches the Rfam family "Bacterial small subunit ribosomal RNA", at positions 28 to 507 of the family's 1533-position model. The record is from RNAcentral.